This 488-nucleotide ribosomal RNA is filed under the name uncultured bacterium. RNAcentral describes it as "partial 16S ribosomal RNA". It matches the Rfam family "Bacterial small subunit ribosomal RNA", at positions 28 to 507 of the family's 1533-position model. The record is from RNAcentral.
GACGAACGCUGGCGGCGUGCUUAACACAUGCCAGUCGAACGCGCCUGUCCUCUGGGUUUCUGGGGGGUGGGUGAGUGGCGAACGGGUGAGUAACACGUGAGUAACCUGCCCCCUUCUUCGGGAUAACGGUCUGAAAGGGCUGCUAAUACCGGGUAUUCACUGGUCUCCGCAUGGGGUCUGGUGGAAAGGUUUUUUUCUGGUGGGGGAUGGGCUCGCGGCCUAUCAGCUUGUUGGUGGGGUGAUGGCCCACCAAGGCUUUGACGGGUAGGCGGCCUGAGAGGGUGACCGGUCACAUUGGGACUGAGAUACGGCCCAGACUCCUACGGGAGGCAGCAGUGGGGAAUAUUGCACAAUGGGCGCAAGCCUGAUGCGGCGACGCCGCGUGAGGGAUGGAGGCCUUCGGGUUGUGAACCUCUUUCGCCCGUGGUCAAGCCGCGACGUGGGUCGUGGUGAGGGUAGUGGGUAAAGAAGCGCCGGCUAACUACGUG